This 465-nucleotide ribosomal RNA is filed under the name Vreelandella stevensii. RNAcentral's name for it is "partial 16S ribosomal RNA". It matches the Rfam family "Bacterial small subunit ribosomal RNA", at positions 338 to 795 of the family's 1533-position model. The record is from RNAcentral. Lineage: Bacteria; Pseudomonadati; Pseudomonadota; Gammaproteobacteria; Oceanospirillales; Halomonadaceae.
CCUACGGGCGGCAGCAGUGGGGAAUAUUGGACAAUGGGCGAAAGCCUGAUCCAGCCAUGCCGCGUGUGUGAAGAAGGCCUUCGGGUUGUAAAGCACUUUCAGUGGGGAAGAAAGCCUUGGGGCUAAUACCCUCGAGGAAGGACAUCACCCACAGAAGAAGCACCGGCUAACUCCGUGCCAGCAGCCGCGGUAAUACGGAGGGUGCGAGCGUUAAUCGGAAUUACUGGGCGUAAAGCGCGCGUAGGCGGUCUGAUAAGCCGGUUGUGAAAGCCCCGGGCUCAACCUGGGAACGGCAUCCGGAACUGUCAGGCUAGAGUGCAGGAGAGGAAGGUAGAAUUCCCGGUGUAGCGGUGAAAUGCGUAGAGAUCGGGAGGAAUACCAGUGGCGAAGGCGGCCUUCUGGACUGACACUGACGCUGAGGUGCGAAAGCGUGGGUAGCAAACAGGAUUAGAUACCCGAGUCGUC